AACGAACGCUGGCGGCAUGCCUAACACAUGCAAGUCGAACGGGAUCCUAGCUUGCUAGGUGAGAGUGGCGGACGGGUGAGUAACACGUGGGAAUCUGCCUUUUUGGUUCGGGAUAACCGCGGGAAACUGCGGCUAAUACCGAAUGCCCUCGAGAGAGGAAAGAUUUAUCGCCAGAAGAGGAGCCCGCGUCCGAUUAGGUAGUUGGUGGGGGUAAAAGGCCUACCAAGCCGACGAUCGGUAGCUGGUCUGAGAGGAUGAUCAGCCAACACUGGGACUGAGAUACGGCCCAGACUCCUACGGGAGGCAGCAGUGGGGAAU
This 318-nucleotide ribosomal RNA is filed under the name uncultured bacterium. RNAcentral describes it as "bacterial SSU rRNA". It matches the Rfam family "Bacterial small subunit ribosomal RNA", at positions 29 to 362 of the family's 1533-position model. The record is from RNAcentral.